This 396-nucleotide ribosomal RNA is filed under the name uncultured bacterium. RNAcentral describes it as "bacterial SSU rRNA". It matches the Rfam family "Bacterial small subunit ribosomal RNA", at positions 28 to 429 of the family's 1533-position model. The record is from RNAcentral.
GACGAACGCUGGCGGCGUGCUUAACACAUGCAAGCCGAGCGGUAAGGCCCUUUCGGGGGUACACGAGCGGCGAACGGGUGAGUAACACGUGGGUGACCUGCCCUCAGCUCUGGGACAAGCCUGGGAAACCGGGUCUAAUACCGGAUAUGACUCCAUGACGCAUGUUGUGGGGUGGAAAGCCUUGUGCGGCUGAGGAUGGGCCCGCGGCCUAUCAGCUUGUUGGUGGGGNGAUGGCCUACCAAGGCGACGACGGGUAGCCGGCCUGAGAGGGCGACCGGCCACACUGGGACUGAGACACGGCCCAGACUCCUACGGGAGGCAGCAGUGGGGAAUCUUGCGCAAUGGGCGAAAGCCUGACGCAGCGACGCCGCGUGAGGGAUGACGGCCUGGUGUAAC